RNAcentral lists this ribosomal RNA (568 nucleotides) under uncultured bacterium. RNAcentral's name for it is "partial 16S ribosomal RNA". It matches the Rfam family "Bacterial small subunit ribosomal RNA", at positions 355 to 914 of the family's 1533-position model. The record is from RNAcentral.
UGGGGAAUUUUGGACAAUGGGCGAAAGCCUGAUCCAGCAAUGCCGCGUGUGUGAAGAAGGCCUUCGGGUUGUAAAGCACUUUUGUCCGGAAAGAAAUCCUCUGGGGUUAAUACCCUCGGGGGGAUGACGGUACCGGAAGAAUAAGCACCGGCUAACUACGUGCCAGCAGCCGCGGUAAUACGUAGGGUGCAAGCGUUAAUCGGAAUUACUGGGCGUAAAGCGUGCGCAGGCGGUUUUGUAAGACGGAUGUGAAAUCCCCGGGCUUAACCUGGGAACUGCAUUCGUGACUGCAAGGCUAGAGUAUGGCAGAGGGGGGUAGAAUUCCACGUGUAGCAGUGAAAUGCGUAGAGAUGUGGAGGAAUACCGAUGGCGAAGGCAGCCCCCUGGGCCAAUACUGACGCUCAUGCACGAAAGCGUGGGGAGCAAACAGGAUUAGAUACCCUGGUAGUCCACGCCCUAAACGAUGUCAACUAGUUGUUGGGGAUUCAUUUCCUUAGUAACGUAGCUAACGCGUGAAGUUGACCGCCUGGGGAGUACGGUCGCAAGAUUAAAACUCAAAUGAAUUGAC